CGCGUAGGCGGCUUGAUAAGUCGGGGGUGAAAGCCUGUGGCUCAACCACAGAAUUGCCUUCGAUACUGUCGAGCUUGAGACCGGAAGAGGUAAGUGGAACUGCGAGUGUAGAGGUGAAAUUCGUAGAUAUUCGCAAGAACACCAGUGGCGAAGGCGGCUUACUGGUCCGGUUCUGACGCUGAGGCGCGAAAGCGUGGGGAGCAAACA
Molecule: ribosomal RNA, 207 nt
Filed under: uncultured bacterium
Lineage: Bacteria
Description: partial 16S ribosomal RNA
Rfam family: Bacterial small subunit ribosomal RNA
Source: RNAcentral